AUACGUAUGGUGCGAGCGUUGUCCGGAAUUACUGGGCGUAAAGAGCUCGUAGGUGGUUUGUCGCGUCGUCUGUGAAAUUCCGGGGCUUAACUCCGGGCGUGCAGGCGAUACGGGCAUAACUUGAGUACUGUAGGGGAGACUGGAAUUCCUGGUGUAGCGGUGAAAUGCGCAGAUAUCAGGAGGAACACCGGUGGCGAAGGCGGGUCUCUGGGCAGUAACUGACGCUGAGGAGCGAAAGCAUGGGUAGCGAACAGGAUUAGAUACCCUGGUAGUCCAUGCCGUAAACGGUGGGCGCUAGGUGUAGGGGUCUUCCACGACUUCUGUGCCGUAGCUAACGCAUUAAGCGCCCCGCCUGGGGAGUACGGCCGCAAGGCUAAAACUCAAAUGAAUUGACGGGG
Molecule: ribosomal RNA, 398 nt
Filed under: uncultured bacterium
Lineage: Bacteria
Description: partial 16S ribosomal RNA
Rfam family: Bacterial small subunit ribosomal RNA
Source: RNAcentral